Gallus gallus (chicken) is the source of this 2965-nucleotide RNA transcript. It is a transcript of the gene named pleckstrin homology domain containing S1, with no coding region annotated. Lineage: Eukaryota; Metazoa; Chordata; Aves; Galliformes; Phasianidae. The transcript is spliced from 17 exons. The record is from RefSeq and is a predicted model, not a curated record.
GGGUGAGGACACACCGUCUUUUGCCGCAGAAAACAGUACAGGAAAUCUGGAAAUGUUUAAUGGUGUAUUUCUCUAAGACCUUCUACGCUAUAAAGACAUUUGCCUGGCACACAGAGCUUAUCUUGCUGCCAAGGCAGUGUCAGAAUCAGGUGCGAUGCAAUGUUCCUAGGGUACAGCUGGGGCGGCUGCUGCAAAGGAAGGGGCAAAAUGCAGUUCUGUUGGCGGGUCUCUUCACAUCCCGAGCAAAUCAUCCCUCUGAAUCAUGCAACCGUGCGUGCAGUGAAAUGUUGCUCAGCAAGAAAGAGUGAAAGGAAUUAGCUUCAAGGAUUUUUCUUUCCCAUCUCAGUAGAAAAAAUAAUCAGGAUGGCUUCAGGAAGCAGAAAAAACUCUGAAGUAGAAGCUCAAAACCCACUUUGCCCUGAAGGUGGAGUUUUCAAGCAUGGAUUCUUCAUCAAGUCACCACCUCUUCAUCUUUUCAACUCCAAGAAUUCCUGGAAAAGGCGUUAUUUCAUCCUGUCCAAAUCCAACAAGGGCGAUUACAUCCUGAAGUACUUAAAAGGAAUGUGCAUGAAAGGCUCCAUAGCUGUUGAUCAGAUCGUAAGUGUAGAAAUCGGCAUAAGUAAUUCUGAAAUAAUGGCAACGGUGAGGAAGAUGUUCAGAUGCUUUCCAGAAGAGGUGAUAUCCAUCACUACUGAAAACAGAUGUUACUACCUCGUUGGGAAGAGCAGGAUGGAAAUAGAGGAUUGGGUCACAGCCAUAACUUCCCUCAGGGAGGCCAAAAGAGGUGGAUGCUGUCCUCAGAACCAAGAUCUGGCAAAUGCAGAAGUCAAAAGCCGAUCCUUCUCUAUGCCAUUGUUCUCAAAUUCUGUAGAUACGACUGAUUCUCUGGGAAGGCAAAGCUACCUGAAGGAUGAUGGUCCUUCAGAAGAUAAGAACAGGCCAAAUUCAGAUCCUGGCCCUCAUCAGGCUCAGAGCGACUCACCACAAGGAGUUUUUCAAAGACUGGAUAAAGAUCUGGGAAAGACUGAGGAAAAUCUGUCGUCAGAUUCAAACGAAGAUCUCAAAAAGGAAGAAGAACCUUAUUACCAAACUCCCAGCAGUCUUUUAGCAAAGUGCAAUAGUGAAAUAUCGGAGAUUGACCCUACAGCUGAGCCUGAUAUCCCUGUACAAGAGAAGCCAUGGCAAAGGCAACCAGUAAAGGAGAAUGCUUACGUGUCAAUGAAGUCACUUAGGUUAACGUGUAGACAUGACAGGCUCCAUUCUCCUCCCCAAAGCCUGGAAAACAGUGCAAGUCCAAGCAACUUGGAAGCAGACACAGACGUAAAACUCCCCGAAAGCACCACACAGCAGUCAUUCCUCAAAAGAAGGCAAAACUCAUCACCACUUUCAGUGGUUCAGUUGUCUAUACUGCUCAGCCAAGUUACAGAUAAAACACAACUGCAAGAGUUGGAUAUUUUGGUCCCACUGGCAGAUAUUAACAGUUACCUAAAACUUACUGAAGCAGCAGGACAAAUAUGUGUCUCACAGUGGACUGGUCCUUGCCGACUGGGAUGUUUAUUUAACCACGGAGAUCGUAUAGUGGCUGUGAAUGGUCUACACCCACAGAACAUGGAGGAGGCUUCCUUGUUCAUCAGCAGGUCCACACAAAAGGAGGUGAAACUUACUGUGUGUAGGAUUCCACAUUCAGAUACCUUCCAUGCUAAAGGCUGUUCAUGUCACUGAAAAAAAGACGUCAUUGAUGAAGUGAAUCUGGCCAAAAGACGACAUUUGUCUGGCUUCCAGCUAAGGUAGUCCAAAUCAAGAAACUACACUUAUUAAAAUCAGAGUCACUGCCACUGAACUCCAGUACCAAGUUUGACAAAGUUUUGUUCAAAAGCCUGUUUGUGCUGAAUUCUCCAUAAAGACAGAAGGAAAUCCCGGUUCUGGAAUAACAGAGACUGAGAAUGGAAGAGAAGUGAUUCCUCAGGAGCUCUCCUCCAAAGUUGCUAUGUGAUUCCUUCGCUCCAGGCUGUUUUCCUGAGCCUAACAACUCUGUUUGCACCUAUGGAGUCUCUGUGGGGUGGGGUGGCCAGGACAUCACCGCACGGCGCUGCUUCCAGCUCCGUAACCAUCUGCCUGCUGGGCAGACCUCUAGGCUAGAAUCCUGAAAUCACAGGUCGUGUAGGUCACAAGUAUCUGCUGAUGGCUCUCACUUAACCUUUCCUGCCUGAGGUUUGCAGAAACUCUUCUUCUGAACUGUAGAAAACGUGAAGCCCUCCUGCCUCGUUCCAAGACUUAGAUCUCUGCAUGAUUAGGAUUUUUCUUGCUGUUUUCAGUGGGGAAGGGGAAUGCUUUAUUUUCUACUGUGCGUUUUCUUUCAAUAUUUCUUUCUUUUUUUUUUUUUUUUUUGGAAACGUUUCCCAAAACCAUUCACGUGUCACUGACCAGCAAAACAAAUGCCUCCUUUUCCAGUCAUGAGCCAACAAAGAGGUGAGACAGCCUUAAAGCAACUUCCUGAAACUUUGUGAGAAUCGUUUCUAAGAAGAGACAAACAAAGAGGAGCUCCAAACCGUAUGUGGUGGUGAGAGAAAAAAGAAGCCACCACCCUGGAACUUGCAUAUGACAUUGCUGCUGAAGCAGACUUUGAGUGACACACAUAGCGCCUCUCAGCCAUGGGAGAGCAUUACUUUUGGACCAGAAUGGGCUGUGAGUAGAGAUAUCGAGCACAAAAGGAUCCCAGAACAUUUCAGAAAGCAAGAUAAUUAUUUCUGUACUUCUAUAAGCAGUUACUGAAGCAUUACAUCAAUUGAUUAUUAUGUCAAUUUGCACAGCACUAAAUGCAAAUGAUGAAUGUUUACGCAAUGUCUGAUUCACAACACUUGCUAGACAUAUAACAUGGAAGUUACAUCGGUACAGUAAAUUCUGGUAGGAUGUCUGAAGUUGUCUGUGCGUGUGUAAUUAAUAAAUGCAUUACCACUUUACAACA